ACGCACGUAGCCUCCCGGGCUCCUCUGAAUUCAGAUCUGAAGAAUGAAGCCCCAAUGCUCGUGCUAAAAAGAUGUCGUCAAGUGUUGCAGAUUUGCCUUACUGUACCUUUUUGCUCCACGGCUGAUCUGUGUCAAAUCGGCGGCGACAUGU
Small nucleolar RNA from Andrographis paniculata, 151 nucleotides. RefSeq annotates it as small nucleolar RNA snoR134. The transcript has a single exon. Lineage: Eukaryota; Viridiplantae; Streptophyta; Magnoliopsida; Lamiales; Acanthaceae. The record is from RefSeq and is a predicted model, not a curated record.